GAUGAACGCUGGCGGCGUGCUUAACACAUGCCAGUCGAACGGAAAGGCCCAAGCUUGCUUGGGUACUCGAGUGGCGAACGGGUGAGUAACACGUGGGUGAUCUGCCCUGCACUUCGGGAUAAGCCUGGGAAACUGGGUCUAAUACCGGAUAGGACGAUGGUUUGGAUGCCAUUGUGGAAAGUUUUUUCGGUGUGGGAUGAGCUCGCGGCCUAUCAGCUUGUUGGUGGGGUAAUGGCCUACCAAGGCGUCGACGGGUAGCCGGCCUGAGAGGGUGUACGGCCACAUUGGGACUGGGAUACGGCCCAGACUCCUACGGGAGGCAGCAGUGGGGAAUAUUGCACAAUGGGCGCAGGCCUGAUGCAGCGACGCCGCGUGGGGGAUGACGGCCUUCGGGUUGUAAACUCCUUUCGCUAGGGACGAAGCGUUUUUGUGACGGUACCUGGAGAAGAAGCACCGGCUAACUACGUG
This 468-nucleotide ribosomal RNA is filed under the name uncultured bacterium. RNAcentral describes it as "partial 16S ribosomal RNA". It matches the Rfam family "Bacterial small subunit ribosomal RNA", at positions 28 to 507 of the family's 1533-position model. The record is from RNAcentral.